This 415-nucleotide ribosomal RNA is filed under the name uncultured prokaryote. Its description in RNAcentral is "bacterial SSU rRNA". It matches the Rfam family "Bacterial small subunit ribosomal RNA", at positions 505 to 918 of the family's 1533-position model. The record is from RNAcentral.
GUGUCAGCAGCCGCGGUAAUACGAAGGGUGCAAGCGUUACUCGGAAUUACUGGGCGUAAAGCGUGCGUAGGUGGUUUGUUAAGUCUGAUGUGAAAGCCCUGGGCUCAACCUGGGAACUGCAUUGGAUACUGGCUUACUGGAGUGCGGUAGAGGGUAGCGGAAUUCCCGGUGUAGCAGUGAAAUGCGUAGAUAUCGGGAGGAACAUCCGUGGCGAAGGCGGCUACCUGGACCAGCACUGACACUGAGGCACGAAAGCGUGGGGAGCAAACAGGAUUAGAUACCCUGGUAGUCCACGCCCUAAACAAUGCGAACUGGAUGUUGGGAGCAACUAGGCUCUCAGUAUCGAAGCUAACGCGUUAAGUUCGCCGCCUGGGAAGUACGGUCGCAAGACUGAAACUUAAAUGAAUUGACGGGG